RNAcentral lists this long non-coding RNA (428 nucleotides) under Homo sapiens (human). Its description in RNAcentral is "HSALNT0159384". The record is from RNAcentral. Lineage: Eukaryota; Metazoa; Chordata; Mammalia; Primates; Hominidae.
AUAAUGUUUGAAAACCAUUUUCCUAGGCAGUGGCAAGAGGGAUUUAUUUGUAGCUAGUUGUGUGAUUGUGUUUUAGAAAAAAAAAAAAAAGAUGUAGCAGAGAGCACUGGGCAGAGGAAGAGGAUGACAGCCGCACUCCUAGAACAGAGCCAUUUCCCAGCGCCGGGAGUGUGGGCUCACACCAGAGGGAGAAAACGGAUAGGAAGCUGAGUCCACUCAGCAUCUUCCGGGGUGGCAGCAAAAUCCUACACUGGUUUCAAGGUAAGGCUUAGGGAGAGCGAAUGUUCCUAAAACUGAGUUAUUCGAGGGAUUAAAAAAAUUAGCAGCUGCCCUCAAAACUGUAACUCAGAGAAAAAAGAGAAACUCAUGCAAAGAGAGAGGGUCACUGCUUCCAGAUCUACGUCUGACGGUUUGACGUCAUCACAGAA